RNAcentral lists this long non-coding RNA (896 nucleotides) under Helianthus annuus (common sunflower). The record is from RNAcentral. Lineage: Eukaryota; Viridiplantae; Streptophyta; Magnoliopsida; Asterales; Asteraceae.
AAGCCUUAUCCCACCACCAAGAUACCACUAGGCUAUAAUGCCAUGGAACGACGGUAUGACAACGAUGACUCAAUAAUUCGUCAAAGAGGAUGGAAUAAUUCAUGUCUAUGGGUGUCUUUGACAAACAUCAUUAUUUAUUGAUGGGGCUUCUUUGUAGUAAGCAUAUAUAUUCUUUAUAAUACCAAUGGAUAAACUAAUAAGAGUGGUUUAUACACAAGUUCAUUUGAUGAUUGAUGGGGCUUCUUUGUAGUAAGCAUAUAGAUUCUUUAUAAUACCAAUGGAUAAACUAAUAAGAGUGGUUUAUACAUAAGUUCAUUUGAUGAAACAAUGUUAUAUCUGCUGUGAAAGUAGUCUAUUAGUAAAAAAAAAAGUAUAAAAAUUACAGAUAGAAAAGGACUACAGUUAAUUACACAGAUAGUUUUUGUGGUUUAUUAAAAGUAACGUCUUUGAUUACUAACUUAUUUUUUUUUUUAACAGGCUCAGGUUAUAUAGUUUCGAUUUUGUAACACCUUUGAGUAUUAAGACUAACUUCCGUUAGUUUUUCUAUCAAAUCAACAUAAAAUGACUAAAAUUCCCUUAUUUAACUUUAUGUUAGUACUCAAAGAUUUUACUUUCAAUAAACCAUAAGAACUAUCAGUGUAAGUAACUCUAAAGAUAAGAUAUAUUACCAAAUGUCUAUUAGAAUUACGUUAUCAAAAACGACUCUUACUUCUCUAGCACCCUAACACGUUUUAACCGAAAACGUCGCAGCGGAAAUAUGAACCAUAAAAAUUUUCUUUCUUAUGUUGUUCUAGCGUACUUUAAAACAUUUAGGGGUUGUUUGUUUACCUCUUAAUGAUGCUCUUAAUUGUUCAGAUCUCUUACUGGUUCAGCACUUAAUGGUUCAGACUGUUUGU